RNAcentral lists this ribosomal RNA (696 nucleotides) under uncultured bacterium. Its description in RNAcentral is "bacterial SSU rRNA". It matches the Rfam family "Bacterial small subunit ribosomal RNA", at positions 140 to 852 of the family's 1533-position model. The record is from RNAcentral.
GGGAUAACGUUUGGAAACGAACGCUAAUACCGCAUAAGACCACACUUCCACAUGGGAGAGGGGUCAAAGGAGCAAUCCGCUGAAAGAUGGGCUCGCGUCCGAUUAGAUAGUUGGGGGGGUAACGGCCCACCAAGUCGACGAUCGGUAGCCGGACUGAGAGGUUGAACGGCCACAUUGGGACUGAGACACGGCCCAGACUCCUACGGGAGGCAGCAGUGAGGGAUAUUGGUCAAUGGGGGAAACCCUGAACCAGCAACGCCGCGUGAGGGAAGACGGUUUUCGGAUUGUAAACCUCUGUCCUCUGUGAAGGUAAUGACGGUAGCAGAGGAGGAAGCUCCGGCUAACUACGUGCCAGCAGCCGCGGUAAUACGUAGGGAGCGAGCGUUGUCCGGAUUUACUGGGUGCAAAGGGUGCGUAGGCGGGUAAGCAAGUCAGAAGUGAAAUCCAUGGGCUUAACCCAUGAACUGCCUUUGAAACUGUUUAUCUUGAGUGAAGUAGAGGUAGGCGGAAUUCCCGGUGUAGCGGUGAAAUGCGUAGAGAUCGGGAGGAACACCAGUGGCGAAGGCGGCCUACUGGGCUUUAACUGACGCUGAAGCACGAAAGCGUGGGUAGCAAACAGGAUUAGAUACCCUGGUAGUCCAUGCCGUAAACGAUGAUUACUAGGUGUGGGGGGACUGACCCCCUCCGUGCCGGAGU